This 661-nucleotide ribosomal RNA is filed under the name Phanerochaete laevis. RNAcentral's name for it is "eukaryotic LSU rRNA". The stretch from base 251 to 404 matches the Rfam family "5.8S ribosomal RNA". Lineage: Eukaryota; Fungi; Basidiomycota; Agaricomycetes; Polyporales; Phanerochaetaceae. The record is from RNAcentral.
AAGUAAAAGUCGUAACAAGGUUUCCGUAGGUGAACCUGCGGAAGGAUCAUUAACGAGUAACUGAACAGGUUGUAGCUGGCCUCUCGGGGCAUGUGCACACCUGGCUCAUCCACUCUUCAACCUCUGUGCACUUACUGUAGGUCGGUGGAAAGGUUGAAUCUUAGGAUUUUGCCUGGAAGCCUUUCCUAUGUUUUACUACAAACGCUUCAGUUUAAGAAUGUUAUCUCUGCGUAUAACGCAAUUUAUAUACAACUUUCAGCAACGGAUCUCUUGGCUCUCGCAUCGAUGAAGAACGCAGCGAAAUGCGAUAAGUAAUGUGAAUUGCAGAAUUCAGUGAAUCAUCGAAUCUUUGAACGCACCUUGCGCUCCCUGGUAUUCCGGGGAGCAUGCCUGUUUGAGUGUCAUGGUAUUCUCAACCUUCAUAGCUUUUUUGUUAUCGGAGGCUUGGACUUGGAGGUUGUGCUGGCUACUCGCAUAGUCAGCUCCUCUUAAAUGCAUUAGCGUGAGUGUAACGGAUCGCUUCGGUGUGAUAAUUAUCUGCGCCGUAGUCGUGAAGUGACAGAAGCUUGCGCUUCUAACCGUCCUUCAGUUGGACAGCUAGUUACUUAUAUGACAUCUGACCUCAAAUCAGGUAGGACUACCCGCUGAACUUAAGCAUAUC